Molecule: RNA transcript, 839 nt
Organism: Eriocheir sinensis (Chinese mitten crab)
Lineage: Eukaryota; Metazoa; Arthropoda; Malacostraca; Decapoda; Varunidae
Gene name: cleavage stimulation factor subunit 1-like
Exons: 6
Source: RefSeq, a predicted model, not a curated record
GUACCCAGACAACAUGGCGGGGCACUGGUCGAGGCCAAGCAGUGCAGAGGAGGAGGAGGAGGAGAAGAAGGAGGAAGAAGAAGAGGAGGAUCCAGCUGUUCUACGAUGGCCAUCAGAACUUCGCACAGGAGCUGGCCGUCAUUGUGGACCAAGAAGCCACGGCCGUCUCCCCUUCAGACCGGCUCAUGAACAUAAUCACCAUUGGACUGCAGCACGAACAUGUACGAAACGGAACCCCAGACCAGCGCCCCCGAGCCAGCCAUGUAUGAGACCGCCUAUGUCACCUCCCACAAGGACAAGUCUCGUGCUGCAGCCUUCUCCAUGGACGGGAGUUUAGUGGCCAUGGGGAGUGUGGACGUGUCUAUAAAGUACAUCCUGUCGUCGGGUCUGGACAGCAUUGUCAAGUUGUGGGAGCUGUCAACGGGCCGUUGCCUCAUUGGCUACACUGGUGCCGGCUCAGUGGGUCACAAUGGCCCUGUGCAACACAUGGUCCACUCACCCUGCUCGCCGGCCUUCAUCACCUGCUCAGAUGACUACCGGGCAAGGUUCUGGUACCGCAGGAAUGUCCACUGAAACCCUUCAACAAGACUUUGCUGAGGGUCAAGGGAAGGGCCUUUUAUCCAAUUUUUGUUUUAUAACAAUACAGUUGGGUGUUUCAGUUUGUAUGCACCUUGUAAUUAGUACUCAUGUCAAGAAUAAAAGUACCUUGGAAAAGUAAGCGGAAUUAAAAAUAGGAAUGUUUGUCAAAGUGAAGAAUGAUUAUCAAUGUGUAUUUUGACAGCAUUAGAUACUCAAUCUUUCUUAUGCUUGUCUAGUGAAAAAUAAAAAGAAGACGAAGA